CCCAAAUGAUGAGCCUCACGACGGGCGGACAGAGCCUCUGUGCUGAUUGUCGCUUUCUGAUCGG
Molecule: small nucleolar RNA, 64 nt
Organism: Sorex araneus (European shrew)
Lineage: Eukaryota; Metazoa; Chordata; Mammalia; Eulipotyphla; Soricidae
Product: small nucleolar RNA SNORD43
Exons: 1
Source: RefSeq, a predicted model, not a curated record